This is an RNA transcript of Calidris pugnax (ruff), 6438 nucleotides long. It is a transcript of the gene named gamma-aminobutyric acid (GABA) A receptor, delta, with no coding region annotated. The transcript has 10 exons. The record is from RefSeq and is a predicted model, not a curated record. Lineage: Eukaryota; Metazoa; Chordata; Aves; Charadriiformes; Scolopacidae.
GCGGGCUCUCAGCUCCCAGCGACACUCGGUCCCUCCACUUCGCAGCCCCUUUUUCGGUGCCGGGCAAACCCGCUUUUCCCCGGGCUCCGCUCCUCCCGCAGCGCUCCAUGGCUGAACCGCCUUUGCCCUUCGCUGGGGCAGCAUCUCCCUCCUCCUCCUCCUCCUCCUCCUCUUCCUCCUCCGGCACAGGACAUGUCUAAGAGCUCCGCGGCACUUUUAGUUUGCUCCCCCCCGCGCUCGGUGGGAUUAAUCUCUCCUUUUGGAGGUUAUUUUCGGCAACCAGCCUUGCGGGCGGGCAGAGCGGUCGGAGGACGAGCCGGGCGCUCCCGGAGCGGCAGAGGAGGUUCGGCGGAGCGGGAGUGAACGGGGGGCGCAGCCCAGGGACCCCCGCGGAGGAGCGGAGCUGCCCCGUCCCCGCCUGCCCGCAUGGCCCCCGGGCACCGGAGAGACUGUGGGGGCUGCUGCUGCUGAGCAACAACACAUCGCUUUAAACUAAGCCUCAACUUGUCACGGCGAGCAAGGAUGGCAACGCCACUGGAGCUUUGGAGCUGCCAAAAGAGCCGGGGAACCUGGGUUCUGUUCGCCACCGUCUAAUAAAUGGGAGUAAAAUGGAAUUUCUUACCUGGGUUUUUCCUGCCUUGGUUCUACUGUGCACCCAACAGCACAGGUGUAUCAGAGCGAUGAAUGACAUCGGCGAUUACAUAGGUUCCAACAUCGAAAUAUCCUGGUUACCCAACCUGGAUGAUUUAAUGAAAGGGUACGCACGGAAUUUCAGGCCUGGGAUUGGAGGUCCUCCUGUUAAUGUUGCUCUUGCAAUUGAAGUAGCCAGCAUUGACCACAUCUCAGAAGUGAACAUGGAAUAUACCAUGACGGUAUUUUUGCACCAGAGCUGGCGAGAUGACCGUCUGUCUUACAACCACACCAAUGAAACUUUGGGCUUAGACAGCCGCUUUGUGGACAAGCUCUGGUUGCCAGAUACUUUUAUAGUAAAUGCCAAGUCUGCCUGGUUCCAUGACGUGACUGUGGAAAACAAACUUAUCAGGCUCCAGCCAGAUGGAGUCAUUUUGUACAGCAUCAGGAUUACCUCAACAGUGGCCUGUGACAUGGACCUUUCCAAGUAUCCGAUGGAUGAGCAAGAAUGCAUGUUGGACUUGGAGAGCUAUGGCUAUUCUUCAGAGGACAUCGUCUACCACUGGUCAGAAAACCAGGAGGAGAUCCACGGGCUGGAUAAGCUGCAGCUUGCUCAGUUCACAAUUACCAAUUACCAGUUCACAACAGAAAUGAUGAACUUCAAAUCUGCAGGUCAAUUUCCCAGGCUCAGUCUCCACUUCCACCUUCGGCGAAAUCGAGGAGUUUACAUCAUUCAGUCUUAUGUUCCUUCUAUCUUACUGGUGGCCAUGUCGUGGGUGUCCUUCUGGAUCAGUCAGUCAGCUGUGCCUGCCAGAGUGUCGUUAGGUAUAACCACUGUUCUUACUAUGACUACACUGAUGGUCAGUGCCCGAUCUUCACUUCCACGAGCAUCUGCCAUCAAAGCGCUUGAUGUUUACUUCUGGAUUUGCUAUGUGUUUGUCUUUGCUGCACUGGUGGAAUAUGCAUUUGCACAUUUCAAUGCUGACUACAUGAAAAAGCAAAAGAACAAGCUAAAGGCGAGAAGGCAGAGCGCAGAGGUAAACGUGAAGAAUGCCAUCGUUCUGUUCUCCCUUUCCAUAGCUGGUGUGAACCAGGGACUGGCCGUUUCCAACAGGCAGCACCGAAUUCCCCGAAGCCUGCCUGGAUCAUAUGGCACAAUAGAAAUAGAAACGGGAGAGACAAAACAGCCGCAAAUAAUGAAACUGGACAAAAAGGGUGGUCUCAAGUCCCUCUUUAAGCCCAUUGAUGCUGAUACCAUUGAUAUAUACGCCAGAGCCGUGUUCCCAGCAGCCUUUGCAGCAGUCAAUGUUAUAUACUGGGUUGCGUACACAAUGUAAGAAAGGAAAAAAAAAAAAAAGAAGGAAAAUUCACGUGAAGAGCUACAAAUUGAACAAUACCUACAGACUAAAAAGCCCUUGCUGAAACUGUAUUGAUCCAUCUCUUCUCAAAACAUUUUCCAAUGAGCUCGAGGCAUUUCUAAAGUCAAGACAGUCCUGCAAUCCCUACUAAAAGCAGCGAUUUAUUACAGAUCUGAUUUGUUGCAGUAAUAACUGUACUCUGCCAAACAAUCCCAGCUCCUUAUUUCCUGUAUUACCAUGAGACAAUUUUUCAUAUGUACAUAUUUGCAGCAAAAGUUUAAAUCUUAAAUUACCAUGGUUUUCCUCCACUUCAAAGGUUGAUCAGUAAUGAAGAUUUGGCUUUUCACACUCAGAUAAUUUCCUUUUUUGUAAUGGAAGAGCUAAUUCCUCACUUGCUCACAAGUGAUUUUCUGCAUCUGGCCUUCUGUGGGAUGAUCUAAGUUUAAUAGUAUUGGUAAAGUUGGAGUUUUUAAUCACAAAAAUCUCACGAACAAAGUAAAAGGGAAUAGAAGGGAGUGGGGGCUUUUUCUUAAAUUAUUAUUUGUCUUGGAUAAAAUUGAAAACAUUUCAAUGCUCUUAGUCAUAGCAUGAAAUAAAAUAUACUACAUAAAAUUCUACUGAAUUGUUAAUAAUGACUGUAUUGCAUUUCAGACCUAAACUAAUGAAAGUUUCAACACUUAAAACACAGCAAACAUUUAUUAGUUUAAUAGGCUCAAAAAUAGACAAAAGUGAUUUAGAAACAGAGGCAAAGCUCAGGCUUUCUAUGUUGGAUUGGGAAAAAUUUUAAAGGUGCUUGAUAAUGAAGGAACUCAGGCUCCAUUUUCAGGAAGAGCUUUAGAAUUCCUUCUGUUAAUUUUCAGUGAGAGUCUACCAUGUGCGCCUCUGAAAAUAUCCUUUUUGCAUCUGUCCCUAAAUAGCUGAGUGAAGUAAAAAAAAAAAAAGAAGUCAUAAAUGGCUUCAAGUUACUCAGUUGCUUUGGAUAUUUUUGCCAUCUUUAUUCAGAGUCUGACCUAAUAUGUUAGGCCUUUUUAAUUCCAUUAUUUGGCAAUGAAAUUUGUGGGUACUCAUACACGCUCCUUAAUUCAGGACUAGAUCCUCUCACCCAACUCACGCAAAAUAACACUUUGUUCUGUAAAUAAUUCUGGUGAACUCAGCAACUGAAUGCAAUAAUCACAACAAAUACCAGUUUCAUAAUUAAUCUCUAAAAACCUCCACAGCAAAUACGUUGGUAUAUGUAUUAAAACAAUUAAAAUAUUGUUACCGCAGAAAACCAAUGUAAGACACUUCAAAAGGGAAUUUUUUUUUUGGAGGAUUUUGUUGCCUUGAAAGCGAGAGGUUGUUUCAAAUAUAGAGACUGACACAAAAGAAAACAUGAAAUGAGAGAGAGAGGGAAGGAAGGAAGCAGAGCAAGUGGCUGAAAGCUACGAUGGAAGGGGACGUGGGGAGGUAUGAGAUUAAACCAGGCAGAAGAUGUAGAUAAGAGAGGAGCUGUGCUGGGCUUUGAAGAUGGGGAUCUUGAACGUAGUGGCAACGAUUAAUAGUUGCAAUUGCAAUAAGGAUGAAACAAGCUUUUGAUCACAGUGGAGUGUGCACAUUCUCCUGCCUUACUUAUCUGUGACAUAUGGUUUGAUUUCAUCUGAGUAGCACUGAAAGAUAGAGCAUUUUAACACAGAUUUAUAACUUAAAAUAAGAGUCGUUCGAUAUCACUCAAAAGAAUGAUCUUGAACUGAGCUAUAAUAGAAAAUAUACCCAAUUCACAAGCCAGGCUUAGGUUCACCUCAAUCUUUAGUUUCUGUCUAAUGGAAAAACUAUCUGCCAACAGUGUGCUGGGAAGCACAAACUGACAUCAAGCUAUAAUUGCUCCACAGAGCUCCCACCAGUCCAGUCUUAGACUGAGACCCCUGGAUUCUGCUCCUAGAUCUUGCCACUGACAUCUCGGGGUAUCUUAGUUAAAUUUCACUGCAUCAUCUGCAAAAUUAAUAUAACAAUACUGAUUUCUUUCCUAUAUCUUUGAGUUUUACAGAAGAAAAACCCUUCAGAAGAGGCAGAAACUCUUAACCUCCAAAUAGCUUAAAACUGAACUUUACACCUGAUCCAAUUCUUGUCUGGCCUCAGAAGCAACAGAAGUUUAAAUGUAACUCUUGGAUGAUGCAGUUUCAUAGAUGCAAGGUUUUAAACAUUCUGUACAGCACUUUGAACAGUAUCACCACCCCAGUACUACACCCUUUAGAAAGGCCCUGGUGCCUUAUUCUCUUCCUUACACAUGCAUAAAUCAGAAAUAAUCUUUGUUGUAAAAUCAGUAUAUUAAUUACUGCUGUGAAAGCAGAGUCUAACCUUUUUGUAUCCUGCUGGUUUCUCUAGCUAUUAAUGUAUUACAUUGCCUGUCAGGGUUGGUAUCUAAUGCUAAGAGUGAAAUUAUUGACUAAAUCCAGCUGAAGAAAUACUCGUAACAAGUUCCUGUGGAGUGUAAAUCAUAAGGAAAUAAUCCAUGAUUUUGGAAUUAAAGUUAUUAAAGAGCAGAGAACAAAGCAUUGACCUAGUCCCUCUAGUGUGCAGUGGCUGGUUAUUUAGAGUAAUUAGCAGGAAGGCAGCUGCAGAUAUUAUAAAGGCAGUGUCUAAUCUAAUUACUUCAGCAGUAAUAGUUUGUGCACCUGACGUAACUCCUUACACUGAAGCCAACUGAAUAAUCACAUGGGGUUAUUGGACAAAAUUAGUUGCUUCUCCAUCUGGGGGACAGUCACAGGCUACGAGCCCUGCUGAGUUCUUCAAAAGAUUGAGUUAAAGAAUUUGUCUGUAGUUUGACUGCAGAUCUUCAAGGUGCACAACUCAGUUGGGACUGAUCAAAGUAAAAGGUGGCAGCAAUCUUUUCCUCAAAAAAACCCAAAGCUAGAAUGAUAGCCUAUCACAAUGUUGUAGACAGAAGCAUAAAUAAAGGUGGAAAAAAAAUAAUCUCAAAACAUUGCAGGCAGUCAGAAAUGCACACUGUGAGCAAACAUAUGGCAAUUGUGUCCAUUCCAGGAAGGAGGUGACUCAGAGGGGACCAGGUGUUUCAGCUGCUGUCACUGCACUUGCAGAGUAGCACAAGACAAAACACCUCCAUCCUCAAGAGUGGGAUUCUCUUAAAUCUGUUUCCAGCACCAGAAAUAGAAAAGUCAGAUGCCAUUCAAACACUUUUAAGGAGAAACUUCAGUAUAGAAUUAUGGUGUAAUGAUUGAGUUUUGCAUAAAUUUGAAUCUCCUGUACUUAUGGAUGUCCUUUACUUUUUCUUUUUCCAUUUAAAAUCAUUAUACUUAAAAAUCAUAACAUACUUUAGAUGUAAUAAUAUCUAAAGUAAGUGCCCUAUUCAACUCUAAUUUCAUGAUGCCCUUAAUAAACAGAAAUAAACUAAAUCUGAUGUCAGUUGAAAGCUGGUUUUGGAGGGGUUGUAUUGGCACCAAGGAGAGAAGGAAAAAAUAAAAUAGACAAGUAUGUGACAGAUCAGAAGGCACUUUUUCUGUGCUGUACCUGAAAGCAUUUGUAUUCCUUUCAGCAGUUUAGAGUACUGCUCUGUGGACUUGCGUGUCUGUGAGAAAGAGAGUGGGAUAUGUGUUAAUGUAAUCGUUCUAAAUGUGAAGUGUUAAUAAAAUGUAGAUAUACAGAAAUUGGAGCUUCUAGAAAAUGGACAAAAUAGACAUUCAAACUAUUGAACUGGAAGAUAAAAUGCAUUAGAAAGAAAAUCAAAAUGACCUCAGAGAUUUCAUCCCAUAAUGAAAUCCUGCCUAUUCAGUGCCCCAAGGGCUUGCAAAACUCUACUUUGGCCUUGACAACAGGAGAGAAAGUACCAUUCUGUAUUCAUGAGUGCUUUCUGUGGGGCACUUAUGCAGACUACUGUAUUCAUGUUAAAAAUGGCUGUUGCUGCCUCAAGAGGUAAAAGAGUCAGAAAGCACAAGAUGAAGAAGAGCAAGAUACUGCAUGAUUUGUUUGAAAGUAAUGCAGGCAGUGACAGCACUAUUAAGAUGUUAAUAUACAAUCCUGUUUCUGGGUAAAAAUGAAAGCAUUUAUCCAAGUUGAAGUAAAAGCUCUCACAUCAGUUCUUAACUGGUUUGCUAAUCCAAUAGAUAAUGUAGCGAAACCAAUUUAACUCAAUGAGGCUUCUACUGUUGGUACAACAAAACACUUAAAAUGAUUGCUCUGAUUUUAAAUACUCAGAGUCAUUAACCUAAGAAAGCACUUCCCAUUAGCAGGAAAACAGCACCCCUGCAUAUUUGUCUAUGAAGCGGAAUAGAAAACAGAAAGCUUAUUGAAAGUUACUGAGAAUAUUUUCAUUACAGAAAAAUCUGAAACGACUCCCUCAUGCCCUCUUUAUUAUAGCAGCUUAAAACACUUGCAAUGGUUGGAAGCCUAUUUGAUGUUACAAACAUCUAUAGCUAAUACUUCUUAAUGAAAACUGAAUAAAAAAUUUGGCAAUGAA